Long non-coding RNA from Mustela lutreola (European mink), 491 nucleotides. RefSeq lists it as uncharacterized. The record is from RefSeq and is a predicted model, not a curated record. The transcript has 3 exons. NCBI's taxonomy places the organism in Eukaryota, Metazoa, Chordata, Mammalia, Carnivora, Mustelidae.
CUUGAAACGUGGAAAAAUAAACAUGGCACGCUCAGAAAAUGUUCUCACUGUCCAGUUUCCACUCGUGAAAGGGAAGCUGAUUCUCUGUGAAGAAUUCCUCUAGGGUUACAAACAAAAAGCUCCUUCCAGCAGCAGGAGUCUCAAGCAGGACCUGUCACCGGGAAUCCGACAUGACCAACAGCUGAUAUGUGGCCUCCUACAACUUCAAAGCCCGAGAGAAAUCACAAGUACACCGAGGGGCUGGCAGAGAGAGAGAGAGAAGGAAGCAGGCUCCCUGCUGAGCAGAGAGCCCGACGCGGGACUCGAUCCCAGGACACUGAGAUCAUGACCUGAGCCGAAGGCAGUGGCUUAACCCACUGAGCCACCCAGGCGCCCCUCUUCUUCUUUUUUUUAAAAGUCGAAAUGUAGUCUUCAUUCCAGGUGACCCUCAUGAGCCCAGCUGAAAAUCUAUUAUUAAGGAAGAAAGGAAAAUGAAAAAAUAGUAGGGGGCA